CCAAGGUUUAUAAAUAUUUUAUGGGCAGCUUGCACAACGAGUUUCUUUAGUGCAGUGGAUAUUAUAUAUCUUAUUUCUCCUCUGCGCCCGGGGUUCGAAUCUUCCUCCUACCAUUUUCUCUGUUCGUCUACAAUAAAGGCAAAUUGCCAAUUUUUUUUUUUGUUUAACUUUUGCCAAUAGCCAAAAGAUAAUCGUGAAGAUUGAUUUACCUUUUCUAACUGAUUAUAUUAAAUGAUUAAAAAAAUAAAUUACAAUAAUACCUAUUUUGUUUACCCUAACAAUUGACGUUCCAUCUUCUCUUCUUCAACCUUCUUUUUUAUUUUUCUCUGCCUAUCAACCAUAUUCCAUCUUCUCUGAAUCUAUGCAAGUUUUUUUUCUUUGUUCUUUUGUUUUCGUUAACUUUUGAUUGUGAUUUACUUGUUUUAUGUUCUAGCAUAUGUAAUCUAUUGGUGUCUAUUAUCUAAAUUAUGUUUUUCUUUUAAAUGUUUUUGAAUUGUAAUCUGUAAAGAAUGCUUCCAGGAAAUAGAAUAAGAAUUCAAUCAAGUGGAGCUAAAAAUAGGAACAAAAAAGCCAGACAAGAUGAAGUGAUCAACUCUCAAACCAAUGCUAUGCUUAAGUAUGUCACAAUAACUAAAAGUUCUAAACCUGAUGAAAUCUCUGAAGCUGAAGAGGAAAAAGAAGAUGAAGAGUUUGUUAUUGAAGAAGAUGUUCAUGAUAAGAGUGAAGAAGAAACUGCUAGAGAUGAUGCAGAUUGUAUGAAUGUGGACAAAGAACAAUCUGAGAAUGAAAACAUAGAAUCCCAAGAGAAAGUUGAUGAUAUUAGAAGCUUCCAUGAAGAUGUUGAUAUGGAUGAUCUUGGAAAUUGGAAGAACAUUGAACAGAGAAUGAGAGAUUAAUUGGUUGAGAGAGGUCCACCUACAAGACCUCUAGUUGAUUAUCUUUUUCCAAGAGAUCGUAUUGAAAGAUGUUUCACUUAAUGUUUUACAAGAAGGAUGAGCAAUGCAGAGAAACAAGACAGGAGAUGGUUAGUUUACUCAAAAUCUAAAGAUAAAAUCUUUUGUUUUGCUGUAAAUUAUUCACUCAUGAAACAUUUCCUCCUCUAUUGGUAACUACUGGAUAUGAUGAUUGGAGAAGUGCUUCACAUAGGCUGAAAAAACAUGAAACUACUUACAACCAUAUUGUUUGCAUGAGCCGCUGGAUUGAGCUGGAAAUGAGGCUGAAAAAGAGUGAAACUAUUGAUAAACAUUUGGAGGAGGCAAUUAACAAGGAGAAGAAACAUUGGAGAGAUGUUAUGUUGAGGAUAAUUGCAGUGGUAAAGACUCUAGCAGAAAGAAAUUUAGCCUUUCGUGGAGACGACAAAAAGGUCAGUGAUCCACACAGUGGAAACUUCUUGGCUUUUAUUAAGAUGAUUGGAGGCUUUGAUGAAGUAAUGAAGGAGCACAUUCGACGGAUUGACAAAGGUGAAACUCAGUACCAUUAUCUUAGUCAUAAGAUUCAGAAUGAGUUGAUAGAAUUACUUGCUAAUGAGAUUAGGAUGGUAAUCUUAAAAAAAAAUUCAAGAGGCAAAGUAUUUUUCAAUCAUUUGGGAUACUACUCCUGAUAUUAGUCACAAAGAGCAGAUGACUUUUUUAAUUCGAUGUGUAGAUGUUUCUACGGAUUCACCUAAGGUUGUGGAGUUCUUUUUGUCAUUCUUGGAAAUCAAAGACACAACAGGAGAAGGAAUUUUUACCACUCUUCAAAAUGCAUUGGCUGAUCUUAAGUUAAAUAUUGGUGAAGUAAGAGGACAAGGUUACGACGAAGGGUCUAAUAUGAAAGGAAAGCAUAAGGGUGUUCAGAAAAGACUGCUGGAUAUUAAUCCAAGGGCAUUUUACACUCCAUGUGGGUGUCACAGUCUCAAUCUUGCUCUUUGUGACAUGGCUUCUUCAACUGAGAAAGCAGUUUCAUUUUUGGCACUGUGCAACAUUUAUACAAUCUGUUUUCAUCAACCAACAACUGGUAAGUUUACAGAGAGAUGGUCAAAGGUACUACACUUAAACAGUCGUAUUGCUAGUGUAAAACCAAUAAGGUUUCAAGCUGUAAAGAUACGAGAGGCUUUGUUUUACUUAGCAGAGAACAUUGGUAAUCAUGGACAUCGUAGUGAAGCUGAGUGUCUUGCAGAAAGUGAAACACAUGGAAUUGGAAGAUUUGAGUUCUUUUUUGGCAUGGUAAUUUGGUAUGAUUUGCUUUAUGUUGUCAAUACAGUGAGCAAAUCAUUACAAUCAGAGGAUAUGGAUCUUGAGGCUGCUAUUAUCCAGUUAGGAGGGCUUGUUGGUUACUUGAAAGGCUACAGAGAAACUGGUUUUGAGAAAGCAAAAGCUGAAGCUAUGCAAAUUGCCAUUGACAUGGAGAUCGAACCAACAUUUUCUUCAAAGCCAAAGCGGUUAAUAAAAAAGAAAAAGCAUUUUGGUGAAGAUGCUGAAAAAGUUGAAGAUAGUUACCAGCUAAACACGGAAGAGAGUUUUAGGAUUGAUUAUUUUAUCAACAUUUUGGAUCAAGCUAUAGUGUCACUUGGGGUUAGAUUUGAGCAGUUUCAGCGGUACGAAGAAAUCUUUGGGUUUUUGUUUGGUUUGAAAAGGCUAAAGUCAGUAAAAGAUGAUAAAUAUUUUUACAACUUGCAUUUAAGCAUUGACGAUAUAUAAAUGUUUUGAUCAAUAUCAACAAACAUUGUAUUUCCUUUGGCAAAUGAUUUAUAUGUGGCAGACUUCUCCCAAACUUAAUGAAAACUGGAAGUCAAUUGGUGACAACUCAUUCUCGAGGAGACUGAUAGAACCGUAUUAUAUAAACUACGGAGAACUGAAUAUUGUAAAGAAUAAAAUUGAUAAGAUUAUACCAACGAUUGAGAAAAAGAAUGAUACAACUGCAAAGUCGGAAUAUUAUCUCUUUCAUUAACUCAAAAUACGUCACUUAGUUCGACGGUUCGAUAAUGUAAUGAGUCCUAAAAUACAACUGCAAACAAUCUUUUGAUUUGCGUCACUCUAUCAGAAACCUACCGAAACUAGUUUUGUGUAUACGCCCAGACUCGAAAAAAGAAAAGAAGAGAAGACGCAAAAAUAAAGAAUCAAAUAUUCUAAGUGGAUUAAUUCUUUUUACUAUACUUGUUCGUAUGAACCUCUACUUGAGAAUAUAACUUUAGCUCACUUUUAUAAUCAGCACAAGACUUCCAUAAUUAGUCAUAACUGGAGGAGUUACCCAUGUCAAAAUGCCAUAAAUAAAAUUCAUUCCUUAGACCUGUUUUGUAACGUCAGCUUUAAAGAAAAUAUAUUGCAUAUUUGACUAUUUGCAUAUUUGACUAAAUCAAACACCAAUAACAUUUUCUUUAAUGGGUUACAUUUUAUAUGACAACAAACAUAUAAAGUUAAUCAUGAAUAAGAUUUAAGUAUAAGUCAUUAAACAUAAUGUUUAACUAACUAUAUAAAUCUAAAUUUAAACCCAAAUAUUCAAAGUGACUAUGAAAUCUUUAUAAGACAGGUAGUAUUGUCGGUUGUCGGUUGUCGAUUGUCUAUGUAAUCUUUGUCAUAAUAAAUCAACGUUAAAAAAAUAUUCAAAGUGACUCAUUUGCUAAUUUCUAUAUUUAGCCAAACUAAAAGCUUUGCAAGCUUUGUAUAUCAUUCACUUUGGACAUUCAUUUCUCAUUCAACACAAAUCCGAUUUUGACCAACAAAUAUACUAACUCAUAGUGUUCACGUGACGAUUCCAUCGUGCCCAAAUUCCGGUCUUUUCGACAGACGUCUCCGUCGAAAAACUCAUCGGAAAAAUGGCCCACACCACUUUUUCAAAAACGAGUUCCAACAAUUAGUAAUAGGAUUAGGAGUUAUCUAGUCUCAUAUAUAUUGAAGCAUAUGUUGUUGAAUCACUAAUGAAUUGUGUGAGUGAUUAAGAUUUAGUUUUUUCAGUUAUUUUUCUAAAGCAAUACGAAAGUGAUUUGAGAAUUCGAUUCCUUGAUUUCUAUAUCACAUUGUACGUACAUGAUAAUGGCUAAUCAAGUAGAAAAACACUUGAACAAAUGCACUAAUGCAAGAAGACGUGGUGAAUGGAAUAAUGUUUUGAGCGAAGCAAGUGUUGCAGUAUGCUCUCAGGAGCUUCUAAGUCUACUAAGGUAAUUAACGAACAACCAUUUUUGUAUUAAUUUCUCUUUACCUUAUGAAGAAUCAAAAUCAAACACGGCUAAGUAUUUAUGACGAUGGUAUAAGUAUUUUACUUAUCUCGCAACCGCAGCUAGCAAUGUGUACAGUUGAAGCACUAGUAAAACUCAACCGGCUUGAUAAGCUUCAAACAGAACCACUGAUUCGAGUCUCCGAUAUGUUCUCUAAAGCCUACAGUUUUUUUUUUUCAAAUCACAAAUAAAUUUCGCUCUAGAAAUGUGAGAUUUAUUAUUUAGACUUCUUGAUAUAUUGGUUAUAUAUACAUGUUCAUUGUUAUGUUGGUUGCAGGCCCGGCCCUUGGCUAAAGCCCAUAAAGCAAGGGCUUGGGGUGCCAAGGUUUAUAAAUAUUUUAGGAGCAGUUUGUACAGCGAGUUUCUUUAGUGCAGUGGCUAUUAUAUAUCUUAUUUUUCCUCUGCGCCCAGUGUUCGAAUCUACCUCCUACCAUUUUCUCUGUUCGUCUAUAAUAAAGGCAAAUUGCCAAAAAAAAUUUUGUUUAACUUUUGCCAAUAGCCAAAAGAUGAUCGUGAAGAUUGAUUUACAAUAAUACCUAUUUUGUUUACCCUAACAAUUGACGUUCCAUCUUCUCUUCUUCAACCUUCUUUUUUAUUUUUCUCUGCCUAUCAACCAUAUUCCAUCUUCUCUGAAUCUAUGCAAGUUUUUUUUCUUUGUUCUUUUGUUUUCGUUAACUUUUGAUUGUGAUUUACU
RNAcentral lists this long non-coding RNA (4886 nucleotides) under Brassica rapa (field mustard). RNAcentral's name for it is "long non-coding RNA (BRAP_LNC003717)". Lineage: Eukaryota; Viridiplantae; Streptophyta; Magnoliopsida; Brassicales; Brassicaceae. The record is from RNAcentral.